RNAcentral lists this long non-coding RNA (997 nucleotides) under Salmo salar (Atlantic salmon). Its description in RNAcentral is "lncRNA (ENSSSAG00000110403.1)". The record is from RNAcentral. Lineage: Eukaryota; Metazoa; Chordata; Actinopteri; Salmoniformes; Salmonidae.
GUCUGUGGUCAGGUUCUGACCAAUCAGAUGGCUCUGUGGUCAGGUUCUGACCAAUCAGAUGGCUCUGUGGUCAGGUUCUGACCAAUCAGAUGGCUCUGUGGUCAGGUUCUGGCCAAUCAGAUGGCUCUGUGGUCAGGUUCUGACCAAUCAGAUGGCUCUGUGGUCAGGUUCUGGCCAAUCAGAUGGCUCUGUGGUCAGGUUCUGGCCAAUCAGAUGCCUCUGUGGUGGUGUUGUGACUACUGCUGUCUCAGUACUCCUGGAGGACCCCUGGUGUUUCUGAUAGAUUAACUUCCGUCCAGCCCGGGAUUCAAUCAAAGGCGCAUUGUGGAUUAUUAGCACACCAAAUUAGACUGUUCAAUCUAAUGUAGACUUCAGCUGACAUCCGCAGCGUUUACCAUGAAUACCAUCUCCACGAAGGUCAGAGAAAUGACCUGCUUAAAGGUGCAUUGUGGACAGUGCGCCUUUGGUUGAAUCCCAGCCACGGUCUCAUUCAGACCUGGGACACCAAAUCAUGUAUCAAAUACAUGUCCCAAAAUGGCACCCUAUUCCCUACAUAGUGCACUCCUUUUGACCAGAAUAGCACCCUAUUCCCGAUAUAGUGCACUACAUUUGACCAGAGCCCUAAAAGUAGUCACAGUAUAGGAAAUAGGGAGCAAUUUUGGACAUCAUCAGUGCUUCAAUCCCAAAUGGCUCACUAUGUAGUCUACUACCUUUGACCAGAGGCCAUAGGGGAAUAGGAGGCCAUAGGGGAAUAGGAGGCCAUAGGGGAAUAGGAGGCCAUAGGGGAAUAGGAGGCCAUUCAGUGUCUGUCAGCCCUCCAGGUCUAGUUUGACCUUACAUCUCCCUGGUUAAAUGGAACUGGAUUCGUCACUCACUGCUUCUCAAUGUUUUAUGGAGUGUAUGUAUAUUAUUAUAUGAUCACAUUUUAAAACAACUGAUGUGUUGACCUCUAAGUACCCUGUGAACUGUUUGUGUUGAGAAAAAAAUUAAAAUAAAU